This is a non-coding RNA of Arachis ipaensis, 907 nucleotides long. The record is from RefSeq and is a predicted model, not a curated record. Lineage: Eukaryota; Viridiplantae; Streptophyta; Magnoliopsida; Fabales; Fabaceae.
UGAUAGAAAAAUAAAAGGGGAAGGCAAAAAUUAGAGUGGGAGUGACGGAGAGGGAGAGUCCGAACCAAAGGGAGCCAGAGGAUGAGAAGGAGAGGAGAGGGGAAGGGAAGGAAGAGGCGUUGCCGGUGAUGAACACAGCCACCGUCGCCGUUGUCUGACCGCCACACCACCAAACCCUAGCCGUCAUAGAGGAGAGGGUGAUCGAAGUAGAGAAGCAUCGCGUGAAGGAGGGAAGUUCCAUCGCCGGCGCUGCUGUUAGUGGAAGCCGCUACCACCGCAGCGGGGAAAACGAACAUGGGAGAAGAGGUUUCGUUGAUGUUGUCACAGAGGAAGAGGACGAGACGUGUGUGAGAGAGUGACGCACCGAGGAGGGACCAUUCCUCUGCCGCUGCCGCCGCCGGAAUUUCUGGUUGCCGCCAUGAUUAAUGUUUGUCCCAAUUGGAGCCACUGGCGAAGGUGUUGCCGUGCCGGAAGCCAACGCCGGGCUGUUGCUGGUUCUGAUUCUAUUAUCUUGGGCUGUUUCUGCCCUUGACUACAUUAGAUUCAAAUUCUUUUCCUGGUGCAACCAUCAUCAUUGCCGCGAAAUUAAAGCUGUUGCUGUUCCAGCGGUGUCCUUGAUUGCAUUAGGAUUGUUGUCACUGCUGUAAAUUAGAAACGAAACGGGGGCAGUUGUGUUCAAAUUCUGCAAUUGCGACAUCGAGUGACAGGUUUGAAGACGCAAUUUGAAGCUGCAAGCGAUUAGUAGGCUUUCUUUAUGGUUUUAAUUGCUUUCAUAGAGUCACCUCGCUCUUUUCCUUUGAGGUUUUAUUUUAACAGAGGGGUAGGUGUUGUAUUUGGGUUUAUAUGACUUCUUAUGUAUAAGAAUUACUAUUAAUAAUACUUAUGUGAUUGUUAUUAUUAUUUGCAA